CUGGUUGAUCCUGCCAGUAGUCAUAUGCUUGUCUCAAAGAUUAAGCCAUGCAUGUCUAAGUAUGAACAUUUUUCACUGUGAAACUGCGAAUGGCUCAUUAAAUCAGUUAUAGUUUAUUUGACGGUUUUUCCCACUUGGGUACCUGUGGUAAUUCUAGAGCUAAUACAUGCUUCAAGUCCCGACUUCUGGAAGGGAUGUAUUUAUUAGAUACAAAACCGAAACGGCCUUCUGGUCGGUCACUCGGUGAGUCAUGAUAACUGCGCGAAUCGCAUGGCCUUGCGCCGGCGAUGGUUCAUUCAAGUUUCUGCCCUAUCAACUUUCGAUGGUAGGGUAUUGGCCUACCAUGGUUGCAACGGGUAACGGAGAAUUAGGGUUCGAUUCCGGAGAGGGAGCCUGAGAAACGGCUACCACAUCCAAGGAAGGCAGCAGGCGCGCAAAUUACCCAAUCCCGACACGGGGAGGUAGUGACAAUAAAUACUGAUACCGGGCUCUUUGAGUCCGGCAAUCGGAAUGAGAUCUCCUUAAAUCCUCUAUCGAUGAACAANUGGAGGGCAAGUCUG
Molecule: ribosomal RNA, 560 nt
Filed under: Halisarca dujardinii
Lineage: Eukaryota; Metazoa; Porifera; Demospongiae; Chondrillida; Halisarcidae
Description: bacterial SSU rRNA
Rfam family: Eukaryotic small subunit ribosomal RNA
Source: RNAcentral